RNAcentral lists this ribosomal RNA (402 nucleotides) under uncultured prokaryote. RNAcentral's name for it is "bacterial SSU rRNA". It matches the Rfam family "Bacterial small subunit ribosomal RNA", at positions 355 to 774 of the family's 1533-position model. The record is from RNAcentral.
UAGGGAAUAUUAGUAAUGGGCGAAAGCCUGAACUAGCAACACCGCGUGUGCGAAGAAGGCCUUCGGGUUGUAAAGCACUUUUUGAGAGGAUGAGGAAGGACGGUACUCUCAGAAUAAGUCUCGGCUCACUACGUGCCAGCAGCCGCGGUAACACGUAGGAGGCGAACGUUAUCCGGAUUUAUUGGGCGUAAAGCGCGUGUAGGUGGUUUGGUAAGUAAAGCGUGAAAGCUCCUGGCUCAACUGGGAGAGGGCGUUCUAAACUGCCAGACUAGAGUAUGGUAGAGGUAGGUGGAAUUCCGGGUGGAGCGGUGGAAUGCGCAGAUAUCCGGAGGAACACCAGUGGCGAAAGCGGCCUCCUGGACCACUCCUGACACUCAGACGCGAAAGCUAGGGUAGCAAACG